AGAAUCAACGCUGGCGGCGUGCCUAACACAUGCAAGUCGAACGAGAAAGUGGAGCAAUCCAUGAGUAAAGUGGCGGCCGGGUGAGUAACACGUGACCAAUCUACCCUUGAGUGGGGGAUAACCUCGGGAAACCGAGGCUAAUACCGCAUAACAUCCUUGGAACGGAAGUACUGGGGAUCAAAGGAGCAAUUCGCUCAAGGAGGAGGUCGCGGCUGAUUAGCUAGUUGGCGGGGUAAUGGCCCACCAAGGCAAAGAUCGGUA
This 261-nucleotide ribosomal RNA is filed under the name uncultured bacterium. RNAcentral's name for it is "partial small subunit ribosomal RNA". It matches the Rfam family "Bacterial small subunit ribosomal RNA", at positions 26 to 285 of the family's 1533-position model. The record is from RNAcentral.